AGGACGAACGCUGGCGGCGUGCCUAACACAUGCAAGUCGAACGGAGUUAAUGAUUUCGGUUGUUAACUUAGUGGCGAACGGGUGAGUAACGCGUGAACAACCUGGACCCAAAGAGGGGGAUAACAUUUGGAAACAGAUGCUAAUACCGCAUAAGACCACAACGUCACAUGGCGAAGGGGUCAAAGGAGCAAUCCGCUUUGGGAGGGGCUCGCGUCCCAUUAGGUAGAUGGCGGGGUAACGGCCCACCAUGCCAACGAUGGGUAGCCGAGCUGAGAGGCUGAUCGGCCACACUGGAACUGAGACACGGUCCAGACUCCUACGGGAGGCAGCAGUGGGGAAUAUUGGGCAAUGGAGGAAAAACCUCUGACCCAGCAACGCCGCGUGAAUGAAGAAGGUCUUCGGAUUGUAAAGUUCUUUAAUUGGUGAAGAAAGAAAUGACGGUAGCCAAAGAAUAAGCCACGACUAACUACGUGCCAGCCGCCGC
This 484-nucleotide ribosomal RNA is filed under the name uncultured bacterium. Its description in RNAcentral is "bacterial SSU rRNA". It matches the Rfam family "Bacterial small subunit ribosomal RNA", at positions 26 to 518 of the family's 1533-position model. The record is from RNAcentral.